AAAAGGUUCAGUUUAGGGUUUAAAACCCUAAUGCUGACUAAAAGAAAAAGUUCAGUUUAGGGUUUAAAACCCUAAUGCUGACUAAAAAGAAAAUUCAGUUUAGGGUUUAAAACCCUAAUGCUGACUAAAAGGAAAAUUCAGUUUAGGGUUUAAAACCCUAAUGCUGAUUGCAUGGAAAAGCUCAGUUUAGGGUUUAAAACCCUAAUGCUGGCUGAAAGGAAAAAGUUCAGUUUAGGGUUUAAAACCCUAAUGCUGACUAAAAGGAAAAUUCAGUUUAGGGUUUAAAACCCUAAUGUCGAUUGCAUGGAAAAACUCAGUUUAGAGUUUAAAACCCUAAUGCUGGCUGGAAGAAAAAGGUUCAGUUUAGGGUUUAAAACCCUAAUGCUGACUAGAAGGAAAAUUCAGUUUAGGGUUUAAAACCCUAAUGCUGAUUUCAUGGAAAAGCUCAGUUUAGAGUUUAAAACUCUAAUGCUGGCUGAAAGGGAAAAGUUCAGUUUAGGGUUUAAAAUGCUGACUAAAAGGAAAAUUCAGUUUAGGGUUUAAAACCCUAAUGCUGACUAAAAGGAAUAUUCAGUUUAGGGUUUAAAACCCUAAUGCUGAUU
RNAcentral lists this long non-coding RNA (602 nucleotides) under Nicotiana tabacum (common tobacco). RNAcentral describes it as "long non-coding RNA (NTAB_LNC009978)". The record is from RNAcentral. Lineage: Eukaryota; Viridiplantae; Streptophyta; Magnoliopsida; Solanales; Solanaceae.